RNAcentral lists this ribosomal RNA (424 nucleotides) under uncultured bacterium. RNAcentral describes it as "partial 16S ribosomal RNA". It matches the Rfam family "Bacterial small subunit ribosomal RNA", at positions 360 to 776 of the family's 1533-position model. The record is from RNAcentral.
AAUUUUUGACAAUGGGCGCAAGCCUGAUCGAGCCAUACCGCGUGAGUGAAGAAGGCCUUCGGGUUNUAAAGCUCUUUCGGACGGAANGAAAUCGCGCAGGCUAAUACUCUGCGCGGAUGACGCUACCGUCAUAAGAAGCACUGGCCAACUACGUGCCAGCAGUCGCGGUAAUACGUAGGGUGCGAGCGUUAAUCGGCAUUACUGGGCGUAAAGAGUGCGCGAGCGGUUGAGUAAGAAAGGCGUGAAAUGCCCGGGCUUGACCUGGGAACUGCGAUUGUGACUGGACAGCUAGAGUACGGCAGAGGGGGGUGGAAUUCCACGUGUAGCAGUGAAAUGCGUAGAGAUGUGGAGGAACACAGAUGGCGAAGGCAGCCCCCUGGGCAGAUACUGACGCUCAUGCACGAAAGCGUGGGUAGCAAACAGG